RNAcentral lists this long non-coding RNA (272 nucleotides) under Ananas comosus (pineapple). RNAcentral's name for it is "long non-coding RNA (ACOM_LNC042793)". The record is from RNAcentral. Lineage: Eukaryota; Viridiplantae; Streptophyta; Magnoliopsida; Poales; Bromeliaceae.
GCCAAGGUGAGUUGUUAUGGAAAGUAGGUCUAGGGUUUUGGGUUUUUACCUUAGAACUUGGAGUUUUGAUCCUCUAGCAAGGCUAGGAUCAUUGUAGAGGCCAUGAACACAUGAAAUCCAUGUGUUUCUCAAGAACUCUCAUGGUGAACUCCUUCGGAUCAUGUUUGAUGCCCUAGGGAUGUUUGGAAUGGCUUAGUAAUUGUAUUAGAAUGCUUUCUCAAUGAUUCUAAGGUAGUAUUUGCUCAGAGUUGAGAUCGAUCUAGGAGAAAUUC